GCUUGCAGCCAGAGGGGACAGGACACUGAGUGAGGGGCAGCUCUCCCAUCCCUCUCUCUGCCCAGCCAGGGUUCAGCCUGGAGUGCUGAGCCCCAGGAAGCUACUCUUCUGGCCUGGACAGCCUCAGCAGGGAUAUGAAGGGUUAGGAGGACCCUGGCAUGGGGACAGGACCUAUGAGCAGGCCAGACCAUGCCAUUACCUUGUGGCGACAGUGGCAACUUCCUUGAAAGACUGUCUUACGGGAUUAGAAAUCCCAUGUAAAGCAUCAGCACCUGAACACUCCAGAGGAGUGAACACUCCACGGCUACUGUUGUCAUGGCAAUGAAGAUACUACAGAGGAAGAGAUGGCUCCUGGACUGGUCCCUGCCAUGCUCCACUCUCCUACUUUCCUGCCUGGUCUUGCCCAGCUGGAUCCCAAGAAAUAAAAGGAAUGGGACCUGCCCUCUCCAGAUUGGUCGUUUUUAGAAAAUCUUUCUGGUGCCAUAUUCAUCUUUCCUGGGUCUCAUCUGCAAAGUGAGCGGUGGGGGCCACCCCAGGGCUCAUAAGCAUUGGGGUGGUAUAUCCCAAUCCUUGAAGAGUGUUUGAAUGAAGACAGGAGGAGGGCCUCCCACAAGGCCCCCAAAGCUGACUUUUGUGGGGCAGGGUGGGGCAUUUCUAACUUCAUAAGCUCUCCAGGUCUCUAGGAGCCACUGGCCAAGUGGCAGAGCAGGUGUCUGCUACACUACUCCUGCUUUAGGACACAUUUAUCCCUCAAACAGAAUUGCAGACUGGCACUGCCCUGGGAUAGCUCUUAAGGAUCAUUCUACACUCCAGAGAAAACUGAGGAACAGGCAGGCCAGGCUCCAGCCACAGCUCAUGGCCUCAAACAGGCUCCAUUGGCACAGAGCUGCCUGGUCCUUCCUUCAUGGUCCUUGACCCAGACCCAGUGUCCCCCACCCCUCCCUGUCUCUACAUGUCCAGUGACUGGUCUGUACUGCUCAUACCCUCUACCAGCCUCUGACACAACGGGACACAAAGAAUGGAUUCAGCAAUUUGGCCUCUGUGUGUGGCAUUGGCCUUGAUGCCUCUCUAGAGCCCUUAGUUCUCAACAUAACCUCGUGUGACAGGUGCCCAGGGCUCUCUCUGCCUGGUGGUUUAUUGAGGCAGACCCCAGCAUGGACUGCGUCAGCAUGAGUACACCUGGGACAACCAGUUCUGGGAUUGCCCAAGACACAAAGAUGGCGCCCAGUGGACCAUCUUGCCCAUCCUGGAGACAGAAAAGCCCCUUAACCACUAGCUGGCACAAUGUGACCUGCUCCGAUGACUCAGGGUCACUCAGCAUGCUACUACUUCUGAUGGGGUGGUGCUGAUCUUCCUCUGGGUGCAUGAGCACUGAAGGCUGGUAGAUCUACAAGACAGAGGUUGUGGCAGGAAAGGAAGAAAAGAACCA
Molecule: long non-coding RNA, 1429 nt
Organism: Canis lupus familiaris (dog)
Lineage: Eukaryota; Metazoa; Chordata; Mammalia; Carnivora; Canidae
Exons: 3
Source: RefSeq, a predicted model, not a curated record